GUUGGCCUACGGGGCGCAGCAGUAGGGAAUUUUCGUCAAUGGGCGCAAGCCUGAACGAGCAAUGCCGCGUGAACGAGGAAGGUCUUCGGAUCGUAAAGUUCUGUUGAAGGGGAAAAAGAGCGGAGAGAGGAAAUGGUCUCCGAUUGAUAUUACCCUUCGAGGAAGUCACGGCUAACUACGUGCCAGCAGCCGCGGUAAUACGUAGGUGGCGAGCGUUAUCCGGAAUGAUUGGGAGUAAAGGGUGCGUAGGCGGCCUGCUAAGUCUGGAGCGAAAGGUACCGGCCCAACCGGUACAGG
Molecule: ribosomal RNA, 297 nt
Filed under: uncultured bacterium
Lineage: Bacteria
Description: partial 16S ribosomal RNA
Rfam family: Bacterial small subunit ribosomal RNA
Source: RNAcentral